Molecule: transfer RNA, 74 nt
Filed under: Chloroflexota bacterium
Lineage: Bacteria; Bacillati; Chloroflexota
Description: Chloroflexi bacterium tRNA-Ala
Rfam family: tRNA
About the family: Transfer RNA (tRNA) molecules are approximately 80 nucleotides in length. Their secondary structure includes four short double-helical elements and three loops (D, anti-codon, and T loops). Further hydrogen bonds mediate the characteristic L-shaped molecular structure. tRNAs have two regions of fundamental functional importance: the anti-codon, which is responsible for specific mRNA codon recognition, and the 3' end, to which the tRNAs corresponding amino acid is attached (by aminoacyl-tRNA synthetases). tRNAs cope with the degeneracy of the genetic code in two manners: having more than one tRNA (with a specific anti-codon) for a particular amino acid; and 'wobble' base-pairing, i.e. permitting non-standard base-pairing at the 3rd anti-codon position.
Source: RNAcentral
GGGCCCAUAGCUCAGUUGGCUAGAGCGCAUCAUUUGCAAUGAUGAGGUCGUGGGUUCGAGCCCCACUGGGUCCA